AUUGAACGCUGGCGGCAUGCCUUACACAUGCAAGUCGAACGGUAACGCGGGGCAACCUGGCGACGAGUGGCGAACGGGUGAGUAAUGCAUCGGAACGUGCCCAGUAGUGGGGGAUAGCCCGGCGAAAGCCGGAUUAAUACCGCAUACGACCUACGGGUGAAAGGGGGGAGUCGCAAGACCUCUCGCUAUUGGAGCGGCCGAUGUCAGAUUAGGUAGUUGGUGGGGUAAAGGCCUACCAAGCCGACGAUCUGUAGCUGGUCUGAGAGGACGACCAGCCACACUGGGACUGAGACACGGCCCAGACUCCUACGGGAGGCUG
Molecule: ribosomal RNA, 319 nt
Filed under: uncultured Pseudomonadota bacterium
Lineage: Bacteria; Pseudomonadati; Pseudomonadota
Description: bacterial SSU rRNA
Rfam family: Bacterial small subunit ribosomal RNA
Source: RNAcentral